RNAcentral lists this ribosomal RNA (465 nucleotides) under uncultured bacterium. RNAcentral's name for it is "partial 16S ribosomal RNA". It matches the Rfam family "Bacterial small subunit ribosomal RNA", at positions 28 to 507 of the family's 1533-position model. The record is from RNAcentral.
GACGAACGCUGGCGGCGUGCUUAACACAUGCGAGUCGAGCGAGGCCCCUCCUUCGGGAGGGUGUCCCAGCGGCGAACGGGUGAGUAACACGUGGGCAACCUGCCCUCAGCUCUGGGAUAACUCCGGGAAACCGGGGCUAAUACCGGAUACGACCUCCACGGGCAUCUGCGGAGGUGGAAAGUUUUUCGGCUGAGGAUGGGCCCGCGGCCUAUCAGCUAGUUGGUGGGGUAGUGGCCCACCAAGGCGACGACGGGUAGCCGGCCUGAGAGGGCGACCGGCCACACUGGGACUGAGACACGGCCCAGACUCCUACGGGAGGCAGCAGUGGGGAAUAUUGCGCAAUGGGCGAAAGCCUGACGCAGCGACGCCGCGUGAGGGACGAAGGCCUUCGGGUUGUAAACCUCUUUCAGCAGGGACGAAGCGAAAGUGACGGUACCUGCAGAAGAAGCACCGGCCAACUACGUG